AUGAUCUGCACACUGCAGAGUGGAGAUAAAAAGCAAGAAGAAUUCAUCAUUUCCCUACUGACUAAGAAUUAUUUGCAGUUCUGUGGCCUGUGGAAUGAGAGGGCACAGACCUGGGGCCUGGAGGACAGACGGCAGAACUGCGGGGAUUCAGCCCUGGCCGCCUGUGAAGGUGAUUGGUAAACACUGCGCGCAGGACUCUGGGGGCCCAGAGCAAACUCCAGUUGCAAAACCACCACCUGCACCUGUGCACUGGCAACAAAUUGACAGUGCACAGAAUGGCCCUCUGAUUUGACUUUGCAAGUCUGGACUGUCACAGGUGAGGUUAAUUUCGGUAAGAUCCUGACGUGCUUGACAUUGGGGGCCAGAUUCCUGGGAAGCAGACUUGAAGAUAAAGAAGCUAUGCAAGUGUACUGGGGAGUGCUCUGGGACCCACACCUGUAGGGGAUACAGGACUGGGCCUUGGGGGAAGCCUGGCUGUGAUGUGGCCACAAAAACGGUGUUAGCUCAUCCCCUGGGGAGCUUUGAAGCUGGGGUGGCUCUGCAGAGUUGUCCUGAGUUGGGGUGAGAGUGCUGGGCUUUUAUACGUGAGCAUCUUCCAGCCACCGGACGCCAGAUUCCAGGGCGUCCAAACUUGCCUUUGAACAUCAGGGCCAAUCAAUAAAAUUGACAAAAUCAAACCCA
Molecule: long non-coding RNA, 681 nt
Filed under: Felis catus (domestic cat)
Lineage: Eukaryota; Metazoa; Chordata; Mammalia; Carnivora; Felidae
Description: lncRNA (ENSFCAG00000049873.1)
Source: RNAcentral